This 399-nucleotide long non-coding RNA is filed under the name Rattus norvegicus (Norway rat). Its description in RNAcentral is "long non-coding RNA NONRATT017348". The record is from RNAcentral. Lineage: Eukaryota; Metazoa; Chordata; Mammalia; Rodentia; Muridae.
UGACUAGCGACCUCUGAAGCCCCAGGAACCUCAGGACUUUCCUGCCGGGGCCUCUUCUUAGUAUGUUUGAACCCUGAAGAACACUGUCCUAGUCACAAAGCAAAAGCACUUAAUUCGGCUGUUGGAGGGGAAAACUGGCAAGUUCUAGAGGAGGAGAUUUCGGAUGUCUGAAACCCCCAAAAUGCCCUUGAGAGCAAGGGGCUGCAUCUUAGCACCUCUGCCUUCCAGUAGAGGAGGGGAGAAGGUGGAAGGCCCAGGGGAAGUGCAGCAUGCAGGUGCCGCUGGAAGAGACCACGGAGGUUCUGGCUGUUCUAAAACAACGUUGCUCAUAAGAAAUGCAACCUCUGUACUAGUUGGUUACCUCUUUCCAACCUAAUAAAAUUUGAGCCGAAAGCAGAA